RNAcentral lists this long non-coding RNA (4799 nucleotides) under Capsicum annuum. Its description in RNAcentral is "long non-coding RNA (CANN_LNC013899)". Lineage: Eukaryota; Viridiplantae; Streptophyta; Magnoliopsida; Solanales; Solanaceae. The record is from RNAcentral.
UUUAUAACUUGCAGGUAGAGGGGAAGGAGAAGGAGGAGCCCCAUUAGAUUGGGUGUGGUAGGCCAGGGUGCAUAAAUCAACCUUUUGGGAGAGGGAAAACAAAAAUCAAAAGCAACAAAUAUUAAAAAUUAGUAUGUUAGUGGCAUAAAAGAGUAAAUAAAAUAGGACACAAUAAGCACGUUGUUUGACGUUUCCUAUUUUGGGGGCCUCUUUUGUGCCAGAGGUAGGCCUAUCGAUGUUUGAGAGAUAAGUAUGCCAUAAAAUAAUGUCAUUUGCUCAUAAAUGAUAAACCCCAAAAAUUAAAACUUUACUAAACUAAAUCGUCUCAUAAAUUAAAAGAAAGAAAAAUACAAUGAAAUCAUAAGUAAAACUAAAAGUCUUUACUCAAUUUGUCAAAUUCAUGAAGUUGGGGGUACCAUUGAACCUGCAAAACAAAGUGUUAGCCUACACUACCCUAAAUAGCAAAUGAAAACACUUAGGCAUAUUUAUCUCUCAGAAUGCACAUAAGCAAUGAGACGUUCUUUUUCGAAUUUAUGAAAUCCCUUAGAACUUGGGGCAAAGCUUUCUAAACAAAACAUCCUAAGCUUUUGAGAUGCUUAUUCUAUAGUAAACGAAUAAACGAUUAAGAUCUAGGAAUAAGAGUUGUUGUAUAACAUGGUCCCCUCAAGCAGACAACUUAAGAGUGGGAAAGCUCAUGACUGUUGACGCACCGCUGAUCGAUCGAUUCACGAGGCAUUUUCAGUAGGGUGUUUUAGAAAAGAAUGCCUGUGCAACCACGCAAUCGUUCGUAAAAAAAAAAAGUAAAGGAGAUUUCAAGUGGAGAAAAAUAUGAACGAAAUGAUAGUUUAUGAAAAGCUGUAACACAGCAUAUGACAAAAAAUACAAUAGCAUAUUCAUCAACAUAAUAAAUAAAGAAAUGCUAAAAAAUAAGACAACAUAAGCCAAAUAUCAAGGAAAAAAGGAAAGGGCGAUAUAUAAAAACACAUAAAGGGAAACGACUAGGGACUAACAGAUAGAAAAAUAAAUCAUGAUAUUAAAACAACAAUAUUAUGAAAAAACACAAACAUCAACAAAUAAAAUUAGACAAAUAACAUAAUCCUGCAUAAAACACAAAUUCGUAAUGGUUAGAACCUAAGUAUCCGCAACAGAGUCACCCUGUUAUCGUGCCCCAUUUUUCUCACAAAAAGCAGAAUUCGAUAUGACAACUCUUUUUUUAGGAUAAUUAAAGAGUGAAGAGUCGCCACCUAAUGAAUUAAGGUGAGUUAGGACACCAUUCCAGGCUAAUUACAAAUCAGUUAAUUAGUCUACAUCAUCAGAAAUCGGGAAGGAUUUAGAUUACCUCGAAAGGAAGGUGUUAGACACCUUUUGAGGUCCACAAAUGUGGUUCCCAACCGAAAUAUUUACGUGGGGAUUCUAUGUGAUAAACAAAGGUCACUUAUUUUUAUGAACUUAAUAUCGCUAAGUGAUAACAUAAUAAAUAAACAAGACAUGCCACUUGGUUAUAUUUAAAUUACUAAUUAUCUAAGUGAUAUAACGAAUAAAACAUAGAAAUUAGAUAAGUAAGAAGACAUAAGAGACACAAUUUAUAUAACAAAAUUUAUUAAAUAAGCGAACCUAACCACCCCAAAUAAUUAAAAUAAUCAAAGUAAGUAAAUGAAUCCAAUGGUUGGACAAGGAUUUAUUAUUUAUUAUUCGGAUCAGGACCUGACUUAUUAAUGAGAGACACUGUCGUAUGUUGUAUUGUCGAAUCAUGCUCGGGUUAACUUCCAUCAUUUUCAUAUGUCUACCCACCCCACCUAGUUUGUUUAUUAAACUUAAAAGUGUUCUACAAGAAUGACAAAAACUAAUGUUUCCAUAAAAUGCCUACCCGUCUCAACUUAUUGUCUAAGAGGUACUGGACUUUCUACAUUAGAUUUAGGAUCUAGACAAAGAAAACUAGGAUUCCUAAUUAGACUCGAGACUCACGUCAAACAAAGCACAUUGGACUAGCACGUAGCAUAUAAUGGUUUCAAACAAGUCUCUUGGUUAAUUAAAGGUUGGUUACGCGAUUAACAUGCUUAAACAAUAUUUAUUCAUUUUUUUAUAGUUUAAGUCAAUAAGCGUGACGUCUAGGUGAUAGAUAGUUAUUUGCACCGCCAAUUCAAAAUGUCAAAACGUAAUAGACAUGUUGGGAAUUUAGAUAAGCGUGGUGCCAAUUGAUUCCAACAUGUGAAAAAUUAGUUAAACAUGUUAAGAAUUAAAAUUUAGUUGCUAGGAAUAUUAUUAAAGUGCUGAAAAAUAUAACUCAAAUACUGAAAGUUAAAAUCUAGUUGCUAAAAAAUAAAAUUUAAAUAUUCUGAAAAUUAAAUUAGAUGUUAUAAAAUAGGUUAAAUAUGUUGAAAUUUAAUUUAAAUACUAAAAAUGAACUAAAUGUGCUGAAAAGUAUAAUAAAGUGCUGGAAAGUAAAUUAAAGUGGUGAAAACUGAAUUUUAAUUGUUGAAAAUACUUAUUUAAAGCUGAAAGUUAACAUUUUACUGUUGAAAAAAUAUUAGCAUUUAACUGUUGGAAAGUUCAACUUGCUGAAAAUAUUAUGUAAGGCUAAAAAUUCAGUUUUAGUUGUUGUCACUGCUGAAAAUUAAUAAAACAUAACUGAAUUUAAAUUUAAUUGCUAAAAGGCUGGAUUUUGGAUGUGAAAAUUUAAUAAACCUGUUGGAGAUUUGUUAAUCACUGAAAAAUGAUUUUUCCACGUUGCUGGAAGUCAAUACAAACACGUUGAAAGUUUGUAUGAUUGCUUAAAGAAAGUAACUUUCAAAUUUUAUUGCUUAAAUAGACAUGUUGAGAUUAAAUUAGGCCAAAAGUUAAUUAGUAAUUCCUAAAACAUGGUUGAGAUUAAAUUAGGCCAAAAGUUAAUUAGUAAUUCCUAAAACAUGAUUUAGCAGUGAUAACAUAAGUUAUUAUUGAUCCUAAAUUAUUCUUUUACCCAGGUGAUUCAACAUAAUCACAUAAUCCCCCCUCCCCCCAUGAAUUUAUUAUUACACAGUAGCGGUUUAUACAAAAAUAAUUACAAAUCAAUGAAUAAUAGGAAAAAAAAAAAAUGGCUAAACUAAGGAAGAAAUAGGUCACCCUUCCCCAAACUCCCGGGCAAAUCUUUAUGUCCCAAAAUAUCUUUCAAUAAUAACUGUCAGAUAAAUAAGAUAGCAGAACAAGUAUCAAAGACAAAGUCAAACAUGACCGCAAAUACAGAAAUAAUGAAGCACAAACACUGAAUAUUUUCUAUAGGCAUGUUUUCUAACAUCAUAAAGUCAUCAGAUAAAUAUGAAAAUUAAAUCGAUAGAUACUUACCGAUAAGCAGCAAAGAAAUGAUAAAAGACCUUAAGAAACACAAUUGAGGUAAUAAACAGAACCGAAUGCCUUCUUUAAAAUUCAAAAAUACCAAAAAACUUAAAAAUAUUUCUUAACUUCUGUAUACAAAUAGCUAGUAACUCUUUUUAAGGGGUGAUAGCUGAGGAGAAGAUGUCCCCGAUAUGAAUGAAAUGGGUCUUUAUAUGGUGAGUAGCAGUAAGAAACUUAAAGAACGAAAUAUGUAAUAAUCAAUCAGUGGCAGUAGGAAAGGAAAACAAAAUAUUCUAAAAAUCAAUUAUUGAGUGAAUCAAUUAAUGAGGAGGAAAAUAUGCUAAAUUACCAUAAAUAUUCACACACAAUCUGUCAAAAUCAAAAAAGGUAAGAGAGAGCCCACAAGAUAUCUUUUAAAUAAUUUUUUAACAUAAAUAAGCACCAAAAAAGGCUAUUGUUUUAUUCAAAAUUUAAAUUGAGCAAAUUAACUAUACAUAUAUUCACAGUCACACACAAAACAUAUAUUUACCUUAAUUGUUCAAGAACCAAGGCUGUCAUAUAAAGAGAGAAAAUAAUCAAAGUGAAACCCACCUCCAACGCAUGACUUCAAUUUCAAUAAGGGGACCGAAUCAAUUAACAAUAACAGCUAGUUUGCCAACCAUAAGAAAUCCCACUCAGACGCACAUGAUAAAUAAUUAAUGAAUAUGCAAGCGCAUAUAGGUAAAAAUCAACAUCCAAUUCAACACUAGGGUCAGAAUCAAGCACAUGUAAAUUUGAGAAUUUUAACAAAUAUUGAUCUAGAUGAGUAGAUAAUCAUGUAUUUGAAGGAAUUGAACCAAAAUUCAAAUUCAGACAUUGCCAAUUUUGAAUCUAAGAAUCUUUCUAAGAAAGAAAAGGAGUAGAGAAAGAUUUAGGCAAAACUUAAAAUGGAAACAAACCUGAGACGGAUUCACAUCUGUGAAUUUGCCAUGCACUUUAAAUGAUUUUCCAGUGAAUUUUACUCGGGAUCAAGGGUCGCGGAGAGAUAAUGGCGGUGUGAGGGAUAUGGUUAAUCACCGUCGACUCACUGAUGGUGUCCUGGUGAAACACGAAGGAGCAGCGGCAGCAGGGUGAACUAAUUCGCGAUGCUAGUUCAACUAUUUUUGCCGAUUGGAGUGAGGUUUUUACCGCAGGAAAGGGAGAGACGAAAUGUAGGUCGGCCGGUGAUCGGCCUAGCAGCGGCAGAUCGAUAAUGCUGGGGAGAGGGGAAUAACUGCUAGUUUACGAAGGAGAGAAAGAAAAAAGAAUUGGUCACGGCCAUGACCGCCGAUUGCAUGAGGGAGAAGAGCGAUGGAGCAGCGACAACAGCCGUCCACCAACGGUGACAUCAUCGAGUUUUAAAGAGAGAAAGAGAGAGGAGAGAAAAACUGUGAGGUGGUGUGCAACUGCUUUGAGGGGAAUAGGGAUUAGGGUUUAGGGUUAGGUUUUAUUUUUAAAAAGAAGAAAAA